UACGGAGGGGGCGAGCGUUAUUCGGAAUUAUUGGGCGUAAAGGGCGCGUAGGCGGCCCCUUAAGUCAAAGGUGAAAUCCCUCGGCUCAACUGAGGAACUGCCUUUGAAACUGAUGGGCUUGAGGCCGGGAGGGGGUAGCGGAAUUCCCAGUGUAGCGGUGAAAUGCGUAGAUAUUGGGAGGAACACCGGUGGCGAAGGCGGGUCUCUGGGCCGUAACUGACGCUGAGGAGCGAAAGCGUGGGGAGCGAACAGG
This 253-nucleotide ribosomal RNA is filed under the name uncultured bacterium. Its description in RNAcentral is "partial 16S ribosomal RNA". It matches the Rfam family "Bacterial small subunit ribosomal RNA", at positions 524 to 776 of the family's 1533-position model. The record is from RNAcentral.